UGAAAGUCCUAUGUUUUUGAAGUAAGGGACUUGAAAUUUAAAAUGUAUGCUCUAUAGAUGGUGAAAAGAUGUCCAAAUAAUGUAUCUUUAGAAAUCAACCCCUUCUUGGGGUUGAAACGGGGGAUGGUACGUUGACUCACUGAUCACGAAAUCUCCGAAACUAUAACACCUACAAACUUGAAAUUUGGCAGAAAAGCUCCUUAUAAGACGUAAACAUCCGCUAAGAACGAAUUUUACGAAAAU
RNAcentral lists this unclassified non-coding RNA (243 nucleotides) under Melitaea cinxia (Glanville fritillary). Its description in RNAcentral is "misc RNA ENSMCXG00005000840.1". The record is from RNAcentral. Lineage: Eukaryota; Metazoa; Arthropoda; Insecta; Lepidoptera; Nymphalidae.